RNAcentral lists this transfer RNA (72 nucleotides) under Bos taurus (domestic cattle). It matches the Rfam family "tRNA". From Rfam's summary of the family: Transfer RNA (tRNA) molecules are approximately 80 nucleotides in length. Their secondary structure includes four short double-helical elements and three loops (D, anti-codon, and T loops). Further hydrogen bonds mediate the characteristic L-shaped molecular structure. tRNAs have two regions of fundamental functional importance: the anti-codon, which is responsible for specific mRNA codon recognition, and the 3' end, to which the tRNAs corresponding amino acid is attached (by aminoacyl-tRNA synthetases). tRNAs cope with the degeneracy of the genetic code in two manners: having more than one tRNA (with a specific anti-codon) for a particular amino acid; and 'wobble' base-pairing, i.e. permitting non-standard base-pairing at the 3rd anti-codon position. Lineage: Eukaryota; Metazoa; Chordata; Mammalia; Artiodactyla; Bovidae. The record is from Rfam by way of RNAcentral. RNAcentral also lists the same sequence under 2 other names.
UCCCUGGUGGUUAAGAGGUUAAAGCAUCUGCCUGCAAUGCGGGAGACCCAGGUUGGAUCCCUGGGUUGGGAA